This 571-nucleotide ribosomal RNA is filed under the name uncultured bacterium. RNAcentral describes it as "bacterial SSU rRNA". It matches the Rfam family "Bacterial small subunit ribosomal RNA", at positions 271 to 842 of the family's 1533-position model. The record is from RNAcentral.
AGACAACGAUGGAUAGGGGUUCUGAGAGGAAGGUCCCCCACAUUGGAACUGAGACACGGUCCAAACUCCUACGGGAGGCAGCAGUGAGGAAUAUUGGUCAAUGGACGAGAGUCUGAACCAGCCAAGUAGCGUGAAGGAUGACUGCCCUAUGGGUUGUAAACUUCUUUUAUAUGGGAAUAAAAUGUUCCACGUGUGGGAUUUUGUAUGUACCAUAUGAAUAAGGAUCGGCUAACUCCGUGCCAGCAGCCGCGGUAAUACGGAGGAUCCGAGCGUUAUCCGGAUUUAUUGGGUUUAAAGGGAGCGUAGGUGGAUUGUUAAGUCAGUUGUGAAAGUUUGCGGCUCAACCGUAAAAUUGCAGUUGAAACUGGCAGUCUUGAGUACAGUAGAGGUGGGCGGAAUUCGUGGUGUAGCGGUGAAAUGCUUAGAUAUCACGAAGAACUCCGAUUGCGAAGGCAGCUCACUGGACUGCAACUGACACUGAGGCUCGAAAGUGUGGGUAUCAAACAGGAUUAGAUACCCUGGUAGUCCACACAGUAAACGAUGAAUACUCGCUGUUUGCGAUAUACAGCAA